UGAAAUCUGGCUCUCGGGCCCGAGUUGUAAUUUGUAGAGGAUGCUUUUGAUGCGGUGCCUUCCGAGUUCCCUGGAACGGGACGCCAUAGAGGGUGAGAGCCCCGUCUGGUUGGAUGCCAAACCUCUGUAAAGCUCCUUCAACGAGUCGAGUAGUUUGGGAAUGCUGCUCUAAAUGGGAGGUAUAUGUCUUCUAAAGCUAAAUAUUGGCCAGAGACCGAUAGCGCACAAGUAGAGUGAUCGAAAGAUGAAAAGCACUUUGAAAAGAGGGUUAAACAGUACGUGAAAUUGUUGAAAGGGAAGCGUUUAUGACCAGACUUGGACUUGGUUAAUCAUCUGGGGUUCUCCCCAGUGCACUUUUCCAGUUCAGGCCAGCAUCAGUUUUCCCCGGGGGAUAAAGGCGGCGGGAAUGUGGCUCUCUUCGGGGAGUGUUAUAGCCCGCCGUGUAAUACCCUGGGGGGGACUGAGGUUCGCGCAUCUGCAAGGAU
Molecule: ribosomal RNA, 485 nt
Filed under: Fusarium redolens
Lineage: Eukaryota; Fungi; Ascomycota; Sordariomycetes; Hypocreales; Nectriaceae
Description: eukaryotic LSU rRNA
Rfam family: Eukaryotic large subunit ribosomal RNA
Source: RNAcentral